CCUACGGGAGGCAGCAGUGGGGAAUAUUGCUCAAUGGGCGAAAGCCUGACGCAGCGACGCCGCGUGAGGGAUGAAGGUCUUCGGAUCGUAAACCUCUUUCAGCAGGGAAGAACGGUCACUGUGCUAAUCAGCAGUGAAUUGACGGUACCUGCAAAGGAAGCACCGGCUAACUCCGUGCCAGCAGCCGCGGUAAUACGGAGGGUGCGAGCGUUAAUCGGAAUUACUGGGCGUAAAGCGCACGUAGGCGGUAUGUCAAGUCAAGGGUGAAAUCCCCGCGCUUAACGCGGGAAUUGCCUUUGAAACUGGAAAGCUGGAGUGUGUGAGAGGAUGGUGGAAUUCCAGGUGUAGGGGUGAAAUCCGUAGAUAUCUGGAGGAACAUCGGUGGCGAAGGCGACUAUCUGGCACAAAACUGACGCUGAGGAGCGAAAGCGUGGGUAGCAAACAGGAUUAGAUACCCUUGUAGUC
Molecule: ribosomal RNA, 465 nt
Filed under: uncultured bacterium
Lineage: Bacteria
Description: partial 16S ribosomal RNA
Rfam family: Bacterial small subunit ribosomal RNA
Source: RNAcentral